AGUAACGCGUGAGGAACCUGCCUCAAAGAGGGGGACAACAGUUGGAAACGACUGCUAAUACCGCAUAAGCCCACGGCUCGGCAUCGAGCAGGGGGAAAAGGAGCAAUCCGCUUUGAGAUGGCCUCGCGUCCGAUUAGCUAGUUGGUGAGGUAAUGGCCCACCAAGGCAACGAUCGGUAGCCGGACUGAGAGGUUGAACGGCCACAUUGGGACUGAGACACGGCCCAG
RNAcentral lists this ribosomal RNA (227 nucleotides) under uncultured bacterium. RNAcentral's name for it is "partial 16S ribosomal RNA". It matches the Rfam family "Bacterial small subunit ribosomal RNA", at positions 109 to 334 of the family's 1533-position model. The record is from RNAcentral.